RNAcentral lists this ribosomal RNA (497 nucleotides) under uncultured bacterium. RNAcentral's name for it is "partial 16S ribosomal RNA". It matches the Rfam family "Bacterial small subunit ribosomal RNA", at positions 28 to 507 of the family's 1533-position model. The record is from RNAcentral.
GAUGAACGCUGGCGGCGUGCCUAAUACAUGCAAGUCGAGCGAACAGACGAGGAGCUUGCUCCUCUGACGUUAGCGGCGGACGGGUGAGUAACACGUGGAUAACCUACCUAUAAGACUGGGAUAACUUCGGGAAACCGGAGCUAAUACCGGAUAAUAUAUUGAACCGCAUGGUUCAAUAGUGAAAGACGGUUUUGCUGUCACUUAUAGAUGGAUCCGCGCCGCAUUAGCUAGUUGGUAAGGUAACGGCUUACCAAGGCAACGAUGCGUAGCCGACCUGAGAGGGUGAUCGGCCACACUGGAACUGAGACACGGUCCAGACUCCUACGGGAGGCAGCAGUAGGGAAUCGUCCGCAAUGGGCGAAAGCCUGACGGAGCAACGCCGCGCGAGUGAUGAAGGUCUUCGGAUCGUAAAACUCUGUUAUUAGGGAAGAACAAAUGUGUAAGUAACUAUGCACGUCUUGACGGUACCUAAUCAGAAAGCCACGGCUAACUACGUG